GGAUGCGAUCAUACCAGCACUAAAGCACCGGAUCCCAUCAGAACUCCGAAGUUAAGCAUGCUUGGGCGAGAGUAGUACUAGGCUGGGUGACCUCCUGGGAAGUCCUCGUGUUGCAUCCC
RNAcentral lists this ribosomal RNA (119 nucleotides) under Helictochloa adsurgens. The record is from RNAcentral. Lineage: Eukaryota; Viridiplantae; Streptophyta; Magnoliopsida; Poales; Poaceae.